This 253-nucleotide ribosomal RNA is filed under the name [Clostridium] nexile DSM 1787. RNAcentral describes it as "Tyzzerella nexilis DSM 1787 partial 16S ribosomal RNA". It matches the Rfam family "Bacterial small subunit ribosomal RNA", at positions 524 to 776 of the family's 1533-position model. Lineage: Bacteria; Bacillati; Bacillota; Clostridia; Lachnospirales; Lachnospiraceae. The record is from RNAcentral.
UACGUAUGGUGCAAGCGUUAUCCGGAUUUACUGGGUGUAAAGGGAGCGUAGACGGCUGUGUAAGUCUGAUGUGAAAGCCCGGGGCUCAACCCCGGGACUGCAUUGGAAACUAUGUAACUAGAGUGUCGGAGAGGUAAGCGGAAUUCCUAGUGUAGCGGUGAAAUGCGUAGAUAUUAGGAGGAACACCAGUGGCGAAGGCGGCUUACUGGACGAUCACUGACGUUGAGGCUCGAAAGCGUGGGGAGCAAACAGG